This 666-nucleotide long non-coding RNA is filed under the name Olea europaea subsp. europaea. Lineage: Eukaryota; Viridiplantae; Streptophyta; Magnoliopsida; Lamiales; Oleaceae. The record is from RNAcentral.
AGCAGGUUCAGAAAUUGUAGAAGAUGGAUCCUAGAAAAUGAAAGAAAUAUUAUACUCAAUAUCAUCAUAAUAACUAUGAUUAAAAUUUAAUAAAAUUACAUUCUCAUCAACAUCCUCAUCAUUCAUCUUGGAGUAACUUCCAAAAUAUGCAGACGGUGUAGAAUUCGCUGUUAAUAAAAUAAAAUAAUUAGUAAUAAGAGAAUUCAUAAAAGAAACAAUAUAAAAAGCAAAUGUUUAUAUACAUUGUACCGUGAAUAUCGGCCCAUAACCAAUCUUGAGCACACAUUAAACCUCCAAAAUUUUGGGUUGAAGUUUAUCUUUGUUUGGACUAACAAAUCUACCACUAGUACUGAAGGUAGAUUCAAAUGCCCAAUAGAUACUGGGAUGGCCAAAAUAUCUUUUGCAAUUCGAGAUAAAGUCGGAUAUUUGAUUGCAUUCACUUUCCAAAAUGUCAAUAUAUCAAAAUCAUCCGACCGAGGCAAUAUAGGCUCAUCCAAAAAAAGUAUCAAGCUCAGUUUUCACACUACUAGGAGCUUCAAAAUUAGAAACAAAUUUAUAAAAUUCUGCCAUGCGACCUAAUUUAUUAUUAGCACUUGACGUCUUGGUUUGACAAGAAGAAGUAGAAGACUCAGCUACAGACCUACUUGAAUCAUUCUUUUUUUGAUA